This 468-nucleotide ribosomal RNA is filed under the name uncultured bacterium. RNAcentral describes it as "partial 16S ribosomal RNA". It matches the Rfam family "Bacterial small subunit ribosomal RNA", at positions 28 to 507 of the family's 1533-position model. The record is from RNAcentral.
GACGAACGCUGGCGGCGUGCUUAACACAUGCAAGUCGAACGGAAAGGCCCUGCUUUUGUGGGGUGCUCGUGUGGCGAACGCGUGUGUAUCACGCGUGUAUCCUGCCCUUUUCUUUGGGAUAUCUUCCGGAAACUCGGGCUCUUAUCCUAUAUGAGCUCUUGCUGCAUGGUGGGGGUUGGAAAGUUUCGGCGGUUGGGGAUGGACUCGCGGCUUAUCAGCUUGUUGGUGGGGUAGUGGCUUACCAAGGCUUUGACGGGUAGCCGGCCUGAGAGGGUGACCGGCCACAAUGGGACUGAGAGACGGCCCAGACUCCUACGGGAGGCAGCAGUGGGGAAUAUUGCACAAUGGGCGGAAGCCUGAUGCAGCAACGCCGCGUGCGGGAUGACGGCCUUCGGGUUGUAAACCGCUUUCGGCUGUGACGAAGCGAGAGUGACGGUAAGGGGAAAAGAAGCACCGGCUAACUACGUG